Molecule: long non-coding RNA, 213 nt
Organism: Ixodes scapularis (black-legged tick)
Lineage: Eukaryota; Metazoa; Arthropoda; Arachnida; Ixodida; Ixodidae
Exons: 3
Source: RefSeq, a predicted model, not a curated record
CACCAUUUUCCGUUAGGACACCCUGACCGACAGGCCUAAUCAAGCUGGUCAUGGCAUGCCUAUCUCAAAAGAAGGCAAGGAACUUUAGGCGGUGGCAAUGUCGGAGUCACAGAAAAGUCACAAAACAGCGAGAUUCAAGGCUACAGCUCAACUUGCGGUUGGAAAGUCUGUCAACGAGGUGGACAGCAGCAGGCAGCAAAGACCUGGUUGGAU